Molecule: ribosomal RNA, 423 nt
Filed under: uncultured bacterium
Lineage: Bacteria
Description: bacterial SSU rRNA
Rfam family: Bacterial small subunit ribosomal RNA
Source: RNAcentral
UGAGGAAUAUUGGUCAAUGGGCGUGAGCCUGAACCAGCCAAGCCGCGUGAGGGAAGACGGCCCUACGGGUUGUAAACCUCUUUUGCCGGGGGACAAAAGGCGGGACGUGUCCCGCCGUGAGGGUACCCGGAGAAAAAGCAUCGGCUAACUCCGUGCCAGCAGCCGCGGUAAUACGGAGGAUGCGAGCGUUAUCCGGAUUUAUUGGGUUUAAAGGGUGCGUAGGCGGCUCUGUAAGCCGGCGGUCAAAUGUCGGGGCUCAACCCCGGCCUGCCGUCGGAACUGCUGGGCUAGAGAGGGCGAGAAGUACGCGGAAUGCGCGGUGUAGCGGUGAAAUGCAUAGAUAUCGCGCAGAACUCCGAUUGCGAAGGCAGCGUACCGGCGCCUGUCUGACGCUGAGGCACGAAAGCGUGGGGAUCGAACAGG